UGGCGUGGAUGACGUCAUAAGUUCUUGCGGUUCCACAAAGAGAACACACUUAGAACAUCUGGCUUAGAAACAGAAGGAAACACACUACAAGAUCAACGUGCUAGUUAGUGAUCAUUCACAAUGCUCUGCUGCCCGUGUUUGUGGUGGAAGUGGGCCCAGGUGUCUUCUUCUGUGUAUGUGAUAUCAUCAGAAAGCACCUCACCAAUAUCUACAGAGACGUCCCAGUCUGGUGAGGAAUCCCUAAAGAAGAAGCAGGGUGAUGCAAGCACAAUCUCCAGAUGGCCUUUCUGUAGGGUAAGAACGUCUUUUAUCCAAAAUAUUUGCAGACAUAUUUACCAUUUAUAUCACAUGAAAUAUCAGAUUUGCAAAGCACAGAGUUUUUCCAUAAUGCAACAUCCAGAACCUUGCAGGUUCCUGCUGAAGGAUUUAUCACUCUUGUCUUAUGGGUGAACAAAAUAAGGAUUUA
This is a long non-coding RNA of Tachysurus fulvidraco (yellow catfish), 466 nucleotides long. RefSeq lists it as uncharacterized. The record is from RefSeq and is a predicted model, not a curated record. Lineage: Eukaryota; Metazoa; Chordata; Actinopteri; Siluriformes; Bagridae. The transcript has 3 exons.